RNAcentral lists this long non-coding RNA (386 nucleotides) under Homo sapiens (human). RNAcentral's name for it is "non-protein coding lnc-SOX6-1:1". The record is from RNAcentral. Lineage: Eukaryota; Metazoa; Chordata; Mammalia; Primates; Hominidae.
CUGCAGUGUGACAAAUUACCCCAAGCAUGUAUUAUCAUCACACAGUUUCUGUGGGUCAGGAAGCCAGGCACAGCUUAGCUGUGUCCUCCCAAGGUUUCGAGUUCUCUCACAAGGAUGCUGUCAAGGUAUCAGCCAGGGCUGCAGUCAUCGUCAACCUGACUCUGGGGAAUCUGCUUCAGAGCUCACUCACAUGGCUGUUGACAGAUCUUAGGUCCUCGCUGGCUGCUGGCCAGAGACAUCAGUUCCUUGCCAAGAGGCCCUCUCCAGAGGAAAUCUUGCAACAUGGCACCUGGAAGAAGCCUGUGUGCAGGGGAGGGGUUGUUGAAUUCCUUAAGGUGUCUGGAAAAAGAGAGAGAGAGAGCCAAAGAGGAAGAGGGGAGGGAGCA